RNAcentral lists this ribosomal RNA (274 nucleotides) under uncultured bacterium. Its description in RNAcentral is "partial 16S ribosomal RNA". It matches the Rfam family "Bacterial small subunit ribosomal RNA", at positions 523 to 796 of the family's 1533-position model. The record is from RNAcentral.
AUACAGAGGGUGCGAGCGUUAAUCGGAAUUACUGGGCGUAAAGCGUGCGUAGGUGGUCUGUUAAGUCAGGUGUGAAAGCCCUGGGCUCAACCUAGGAACUGCAUUUGAUACUGGCAGACUAGAGUGUGGUAGAGGGUAGUGGAAUUCCCGGUGUAGCGGUGAAAUGCGUAGAUAUCGGGAGGAACAUCAGUGGCGAAGGCGGCUACCUGGACCAACACUGACACUGAGGUACGAAAGCGUGGGGAGCAAACAGGAUUAGAUACCCCAGUAGUCC